CGCGGUGAAUACGUUCCCGGACCUUGUACACACCGCCCGUCAAGCCAUGGAAGCUGGGUGUACCUAAAGUCGGUAACCGCAAGGAGCCGCCUAGGGUAAACUAGUAACUGGGCU
This 114-nucleotide ribosomal RNA is filed under the name uncultured bacterium. RNAcentral's name for it is "partial 16S ribosomal RNA". It matches the Rfam family "Bacterial small subunit ribosomal RNA", at positions 1358 to 1482 of the family's 1533-position model. The record is from RNAcentral.